AAGCUCAUAAGUUAAGCAUCUGUGAUAUACGCUAAUAAACUAAUCAGCCUCACCCAGAAUGCUUUUGUGAAAGGGAGGAACAUCAUGGAUGGAGUGCUCUCAGUCCAAGAGAUUCUCAACUAUACACAUGUCAAGAAAAAAGUGGGAAUUGUUCUUAAACUUGAUUUCGAAAAAGCCUAUGACAAAGUAAACUGGGAUUUCCUUCUUGAAUGUCACAAAAUGCGCGGCUUCAAUGAAACCUGGUGUGGAUGGAUUAAACAAAUCCUAUACGAAGGGACAGUUAGCAUCAAGUUGAAUAACUUUACGGGCCCAUACUUCCAAAGUGCUAAAGGGGUCCGCCAAGGGGACCCCCAUUCUCCUUUUCGGUUCAACUUGGUUGUGGAAUGCCUCACCAAAAUGAUCAAAAACGCCCAGAAAAAUAAGUUGAUCACGGGUUAA
Molecule: ribosomal RNA, 438 nt
Filed under: Triticum aestivum (bread wheat)
Lineage: Eukaryota; Viridiplantae; Streptophyta; Magnoliopsida; Poales; Poaceae
Description: partial small subunit ribosomal RNA
Source: RNAcentral